GGUUCAUCGAGAUAAACAGCUGGUUACGCUAACUCUCCAGUCAGGUGCCAUAAAACUUUUGCAGAAGAAGAGGGCACAAUGAGAUGACGUCAUUAAAAGAGCUCCAGUCAAAGCUCAAAUGGUUUGGUUUGCAGCAGAGAGAAGAGCAGGUGAACUAACCUGAGCCCUGCCCUGCUGGUCCAGGAUCAGAUACCGAUCAUAUCCCAGCAGACAGAACGACGUUCUCCUUCAGAAAUCUGAACUGACUCAUAAUGAAAACAAACAGGAUUAGCUCUCCACACAGGCUGUGGUUUUCACUCGUUUUAGGACAAAUUAGAUUUGAUGAGUCAGCAGCAGAUUAAACGACAUGAUGCAAAUGGAGGCCCGGGCCACACAGUAUUUUCACUAUGAUUUAAUAAAAGACAGAAUUUAACUGUUUUACCGCGGCUCUGUCAAUCCCAAAUCUGAAAAUCCUACUCCAAAGCUACA
Micropterus dolomieu (smallmouth bass) is the source of this 468-nucleotide long non-coding RNA. RefSeq lists it as uncharacterized. The transcript is spliced from 3 exons. Lineage: Eukaryota; Metazoa; Chordata; Actinopteri; Centrarchiformes; Centrarchidae. The record is from RefSeq and is a predicted model, not a curated record.